UGUCCUGUGUGUACUGAACAGACAGCCCAACUGGGUCCAAAAUACACCCGAACAGUCCACGGAAAGGGCAAGCGUGCUGAGUCCAACGACCAACGUGCUGAUAUGUGUACUGAUGGACAGCCAUGGAAGUCCUGUGUGUGCUGACGGACACAUACGGACACACACGGACGUCCUGUGUGUUCUGGCGGACACCCUCGGACGUCCUGUGUGUACUGAACAGACAGCCCACGUGGGCCAAUAUCAUCCGAACAGUCCACGAGAAGGGUCAGCGUGCUGAGUCCAAGGACCAACGUGCUGAUAUGUGUACUGAUGGACAGCCACGGAUGUCCUGUGUGUGCUGACGGACACACAAGGACAUACACAGACAGCCACAGACGUCAUGUGUGUGCUGACGGACACACACGGACGUCAUGUGUGUGCUGACGGACACCCACAAACGUCCUGUGUGUAUACACGGACACACAAGGACACACGGACAGCCACGGACGUCAUGUGUGUGCUGGAUUAUGACUGAACACCUCUAAGUUAGAAUCCGGGCUAGAAGCGACACAUGCGCCCGUUGCCCGAUUGCUGACCCUCAGUAGGAGCUUCGGCUCCCAAAGGCACGUGUCGUUGGCUAAGUCCAUUCGGCGGAAGCGCCAUUCGGACCGCCUUGAAUUAUAAUUACCACCGAGCGGCGGGUAGAAUCCUUAGCAGAUGACUUAAAUACGCGACGGGGUAUUGUAAGUGACAGAGUGGCCUUGCUGCCACGAUCUACUGAGAUUAAGCCCUUUGUCGCUAAGAUUCGG
This 788-nucleotide non-coding RNA is filed under the name Brassica napus (rape). RNAcentral's name for it is "Eukaryotic large subunit ribosomal RNA". It matches the Rfam family "Eukaryotic large subunit ribosomal RNA", at positions 3022 to 3401 of the family's 3401-position model. The record is from Rfam by way of RNAcentral. Lineage: Eukaryota; Viridiplantae; Streptophyta; Magnoliopsida; Brassicales; Brassicaceae.